This 456-nucleotide ribosomal RNA is filed under the name uncultured bacterium. RNAcentral describes it as "bacterial SSU rRNA". It matches the Rfam family "Bacterial small subunit ribosomal RNA", at positions 340 to 786 of the family's 1533-position model. The record is from RNAcentral.
UACGGAAGGCAGCGAGUGGGGAAUAUUGCACAAUGGGCGAAAGCCUGAUGCAGCUAUGCCGCGUGUAUGAAGAAGGCCUUAGGGUUGUAAAGUACUUUCAUCGGGGAGGAAAAACAAAACUAAUAAUUUUAUUUCUUGACGUUACCCGAAAAAGAAGCACCGGCUAACUCCGUGCCAGCAGCCGCGGUAAUACGGAGGGUGCUAGCGUUAAUCAGAAUUACUGGGCGUAAAGAGCACGUAGGUGGUUUUUUAAGUCAGAUGUGAAAUCCCUGGGCUUAACCUAGGAACUGCAUUUUGAAACUGAAAUACUAGAGUAUCGUAGAGGGAGGUAGAAUUCUAGGUGUAGCGGUGAAAUGCGUAGAUAUCUGGAGGAAUACCUGUGGCGAAAGCGGCCUCCUAAACGAAUACUGACACUGAGGGUGCGAAAGCGUGGGGAGCAAACAGGGAUUAGAUACC